RNAcentral lists this ribosomal RNA (200 nucleotides) under uncultured Halomonas sp. RNAcentral's name for it is "partial 16S ribosomal RNA". It matches the Rfam family "Bacterial small subunit ribosomal RNA", at positions 335 to 527 of the family's 1533-position model. Lineage: Bacteria; Pseudomonadati; Pseudomonadota; Gammaproteobacteria; Oceanospirillales; Halomonadaceae. The record is from RNAcentral.
ACUCCUACGGGAGGCAGCAGUGGGGAAUAUUGGACAAUGGGGGCAACCCUGAUCCAGCCAUGCCGCGUGUGUGAAGAAGGCCCUCGGGUUGUAAAGCACUUUCAGCGAGGAAGAACGCCUAUCGGUUAAUACCCGGUAGGAAAGACAUCACUCGCAGAAGAAGCACCGGCUAACUCCGUGCCAGCAGCCGCGGUAAUACA